Molecule: ribosomal RNA, 472 nt
Filed under: Fusarium oxysporum f. sp. lycopersici
Lineage: Eukaryota; Fungi; Ascomycota; Sordariomycetes; Hypocreales; Nectriaceae
Description: eukaryotic LSU rRNA
Rfam family: 5.8S ribosomal RNA (bases 118-271)
Source: RNAcentral
AUACCACUUGUUGCCUCGGCGGAUCAGCCCGCUCCCGGUAAAACGGGACGGCCCGCCAGAGGACCCCUAAACUCUGUUUCUAUAUGUAACUUCUGAGUAAAACCAUAAAUAAAUCAAAACUUUCAACAACGGAUCUCUUGGUUCUGGCAUCGAUGAAGAACGCAGCAAAAUGCGAUAAGUAAUGUGAAUUGCAGAAUUCAGUGAAUCAUCGAAUCUUUGAACGCACAUUGCGCCCGCCAGUAUUCUGGCGGGCAUGCCUGUUCGAGCGUCAUUUCAACCCUCAAGCACAGCUUGGUGUUGGGACUCGCGUUAAUUCGCGUUCCUCAAAUUGAUUGGCGGUCACGUCGAGCUUCCAUAGCGUAGUAGUAAAACCCUCGUUACUGGUAAUCGUCGCGGCCACGCCGUUAAACCCCAACUUCUGAAUGUUGACCUCGGAUCAGGUAGGAAUACCCGCUGAACUUAAGCAUAUCAU